This 443-nucleotide ribosomal RNA is filed under the name uncultured bacterium. Its description in RNAcentral is "partial 16S ribosomal RNA". It matches the Rfam family "Bacterial small subunit ribosomal RNA", at positions 338 to 795 of the family's 1533-position model. The record is from RNAcentral.
CCUACGGGAGGCAGCAGUGGGGGAUAUUGGACAAUGGGGGGAACCCUGAUCCAGCGACGCCGCGUGAGUGAAGAAGUAUUUCGGUAUGUAAAGCUCUGUCAGCAGGGAAGAAAGAAAUGACGGUACCUGACCAAGAAGCCCCGGCUAACUACGUGCCAGCAGCCGCGGUAAUACGUAGGGGGCAAGCGUUAUCCGGAAUUACUGGGUGUAAAGGGAGCGUAGACGGUUAAGUAAGUCUGGAGUGAAAGGCCGGGGCCCAACCCCGGGACUGCUCUGGAAACGAUUUAACUUGAGUGCAGGAGAGGUAGGCGGAAUUCCUAGUGUAGCGGUGAAAUGCGUAGAGAUUAGGAGGAACACCAGUGGCGAAGGCGGCUUACUGGACUGUAACUGACGUUGAGGCUCGAAAGCGUGGGGAGCAAACAGGAUUAGAUACCCUAGUAGUC